UAGGCUUUUCAUUUCCCACUCCCUUGGUUGCUCCACGUAUUGUUCCAGAUGUCCUCUUUUCUAACCUUUUCAUUUUUCACUCCCUUGGUUGCUCCACGUAUUGUUGCAGGUGUCUCCUUUUCCAAUCUUCAUCCCAAGUCUUUUCAGUUUUCUUUUUAUUUUUCCAUUUCUCUUUCUCCCGUGGCAAAAGACUCAUUUCUCUUUCUCUCUCACUCACUUUCUUUCUCUGUACAACUUGGAAGCUUUCUCUCUCUCAAAACAAAGCUCCUCGAGAGGGGUUUUGACAAAAAUGCAAUUGAGGUUUCAGCUUCAGGGGAAAAGCUCUGUAACGAAGGGAAAACAAGGGAGGGUUAAGGAGACAGAGGGUGUUUUGAAUGGAGCCGUUUAUUCUCACUGCCAUGGCUUCUUCUCAGUUCAGAAGAUUAUCAGGAAGAAGCCCAGGUUUUUUGUUCAACAGGAAGAAGCGCAGGUUUUUUUCUUGCUCUCUCUUAGUUUGUGUUUUUUUUAUUUUCUUUUAUUAUUAUUAUUAUUAUUAUUAUUAUUAUUAUUAUUAUUAUUAUUAUUAUUAUUAUUAUGUAGUUAGGUGUCCUUUUUUAUGUUAUAAUGGCCGAGUGAACUUUGAAAUUUUUCUUUGAGGUUCCUGGUGUGUGUAGGUGGUGAUAAUAAAGAAAACCAAAAAAGGUCGUAGAAGAUUAAAAAGGCUUUAAUAGGUCGAAUUGGUUGCCUUGAGCAGCCAGUGUUAACAUGCAAAGCCGGGUAGGGAUUCCAAUGAUAUGUUGGCUGAGGUUGUCAAGAAUUCUUGGAAAAAAAGAGCAAAGGAAUCAGUCGUGAUUAGUAAAGGGGAGGGCUCUGAUUUUGUGGCAAAAGCUGUGGAUUUAGCAGCCAGAGAAUUAAUAACAAGUGCAUCACUAGGACAAGGUUUGAUCUGCGUUGCUUUUUGUCUCUUGCUGUGAAUCCUGAUAUGUGCCAAAUUGAAUAUAGGCUUCCUGCAAUGGUAGUUACACAGGUACAGCUUGACCGUGCCAAGGUAUCCACGAAGUCUGCAGUUCUAAUGAAUUUAGAGUCCAGAGAUAUCAGAAGAGAGCUUGGAAUGGAAAUAAUUGAGGAACAUAUGGUGAUGGAAUAUUCUAAGCAAGAAAUGUGAAAAAUGUGGCCAUGGGGAAGCUACCUAUUAUACUAGACUGAUGAGAUCAGCAGACAAAGGGCAAACUACUUUCUACACAUGUAUCGGCUAUGGUCAUCCGUCUCAGGAGAAUUAGUGGUUUACUUUAAGGUUAUGCUUAGUUUGGGAGAGAAAAGUGGAAGGAAAAAGAAAGAUAAAGAGUGAAAAUUGAGAUGAUUUUUUGAUAGGAGAGAAAAUGAAAAGAAAGUUAAUUUUUCUUCUUCUUAUUUGAUUGUGUAUAAAGGAAA
This is an RNA transcript of Glycine soja, 1410 nucleotides long. It is a transcript of the gene named mitochondrial-processing peptidase subunit alpha-like, with no coding region annotated. The transcript is spliced from 7 exons. The record is from RefSeq and is a predicted model, not a curated record. Lineage: Eukaryota; Viridiplantae; Streptophyta; Magnoliopsida; Fabales; Fabaceae.